This 405-nucleotide ribosomal RNA is filed under the name uncultured bacterium. RNAcentral describes it as "partial 16S ribosomal RNA". It matches the Rfam family "Bacterial small subunit ribosomal RNA", at positions 33 to 526 of the family's 1533-position model. The record is from RNAcentral.
GACGACGCUGGCGGCGUGCUUAACACAUGCAAGUCGAACGAGUGGCGAACGGGUGAGUAAUGUCUGGGAAACUGCCCGAUGGAGGGGGAUAACUACUGGAAACGGUAGCUAAUACCGCCUACCAUCGGAUGUGCCCAGAUGGGAUUAGCUAGUAGGUGGGGUAACGGCUCACCUAGGCGACGAUCCCUCGCUGGUCUGAGAGGAUGACCAGCCACACUGGAACUGAGACACGGUCCAGACGCCUACGGGAGGCAGCAGUGGGGAAUAGUGCACAAUGGGCGCAAGCCUGAUGCAGCCAUGCCGCGGGGAUGAAGAAGGCCUUCGGGUUGUAAAGUACUUUCAGCGAGGAGGCGUUACUCGCAGAAGAAGCACCGGCUAACUCCGUGCCAGCAGCCGCGGUAAUAC